Molecule: long non-coding RNA, 1017 nt
Organism: Astatotilapia calliptera (eastern happy)
Lineage: Eukaryota; Metazoa; Chordata; Actinopteri; Cichliformes; Cichlidae
Source: Ensembl
AAAUAAAGGCUCGCCUUCUGUUAAGUCCGGUUUUGUGUCCUCACCUCUGUUUGCUCUUGGGUCCUCCACUCACUCCACACGGUCUGCCCCGGCGGCCCGUGACAGUUUCCCUCUAUUCAAUGUCCUUUUUUGAAGAUAAUUACUGAUGUUUAAAAUAAUUACAUAAACUAAAAUAAUCAGGUUAAAUGUGUUCAUUGUUUCUCUUUCCCCUGAGUUAAAAGAAAAAGAGGCUGAACUCUCGAAGCUCCGUGCCGAGAAAAAUAGAAGAGAACGAGAUGAGAAGGAGCUGCAGACCAUAAAUAGGAAGCUCGAAGCUCAGAAGAAAGAGUUAAAUGAAGAAGUAGCUAAAUUAAAGCGUGGGAAAUAGAAGCAGAUGUCCUGAUGUCCUUCCUGAAUGAAGGAGCUUGAGACCAAAGACAUAAAGUUUGAAGAUAAAAUAACGGAAAUCCAGCAGCAGGAAACAGAUGAACAGCAGAGAGAGGAAGCUGAGCAACAAGGGGAGGUCCUAAAACAGGAGUUGGGAAUGGGAUUUACUUAACAUGUGUAUAUUUGUAAAAUAGAUGCAUUAUUAAUUUAGGAAUUAACAACACAUUUUUAUUUUGAACAUUCAUAAUAAGCAAAAGGUUUUUUUGUUAAAAAGAAGAAAAAUAUAGUUAAAAAGUAUAGUUUAUACAUGAAGCUGAAAACCAUUCUCCGGGGCUGUUCAUCCACAAACUGGCAGCAGGGUCCCUGCACAGUUUAAUUAAUAUAACACCGUGCAUUGUUUGCACAAAAACAAACACAUAUGAUAAAUGUUAGUAACAAAAUAGAUAAAUAAAAUUUUUACAAAAGACUUUUUGUCAUUGUCCUCCAGUCCUCUUGUGCUCACUCACUGUGGAUGUGCAUCCGUAUGUACAUAGUGCUACAUGGCAGUAUGUACAGAUGUUUUUUUUUUUCUCCAGACCUAGAUGGACAAUUUACUUUCUACUCAUUCUUGGUAAGGGAGAUUUAUUUAUGUACAUUUUUUUUUGUUUUUUU